This 615-nucleotide ribosomal RNA is filed under the name uncultured bacterium. Its description in RNAcentral is "bacterial SSU rRNA". It matches the Rfam family "Bacterial small subunit ribosomal RNA", at positions 338 to 950 of the family's 1533-position model. The record is from RNAcentral.
CCUACGGGAGGCAGCAGUGGGGAAUUUUGGACAAUGGACGCAAGUCUGAUCCAGCCAUGCCGCGUGCGGGAAGAAGGCCUUCGGGUUGUAAACCGCUUUUGUCAGGGAAGAAACGGGUUUCUCUAAUACAGAGACCUAAUGACGGUACCUGAAGAAUAAGCACCGGCUAACUACGUGCCAGCAGCCGCGGUAAUACGUAGGGUGCAAGCGUUAAUCGGAAUUACUGGGCGUAAAGCGUGCGCAGGCGGUUAUGCAAGACAGAGGUGAAAUCCCCGGGCUCAACCUGGGAACUGCCUUUGUGACUGCAUAGCUAGAGUACGGUAGAGGGGGAUGGAAUUCCGCGUGUAGCAGUGAAAUGCGUAGAUAUGCGGAGGAACACCGAUGGCGAAGGCAAUCCCCUGGACCUGUACUGACGCUCAUGCACGAAAGCGUGGGGAGCAAACAGGAUUAGAUACCCUGGUAGUCCACGCCCUAAACGAUGUCAACUGGUUGUUGGGAGGGUUUCUUCUCAGUAACGAAGCUAACGCGUGAAGUUGACCGCCUGGGGAGUACGGCCGCAGGUUGAAACUCAAAGGAUUGACGGCUGNGAGNGCGACGACGACGACGAGGGAGAGG